This 274-nucleotide ribosomal RNA is filed under the name uncultured bacterium. RNAcentral's name for it is "partial 16S ribosomal RNA". It matches the Rfam family "Bacterial small subunit ribosomal RNA", at positions 523 to 796 of the family's 1533-position model. The record is from RNAcentral.
AUACGGAGGGGGCAAGCGUUGUUCGGAAUGACUGGGCGUAAAGGGCGCGUAGGCGGAUGUGUAAGUUGGGGGUGAAAGGCCUGGGCUCAACCUGGGAAUUGCCUCCAAAACUACACGUCUUGGGAUCGGAAGAGGAUGGCGGAAUUCCCAGUGUAGAGGUGAAAUUCGUAGAUAUUGGGAAGAACACCGGUGGCGAAGGCGGCCAUCUGGUCCGACACUGACGCUGAGGCGCGAAAGCGUGGGGAGCAAACAGGAUUAGAAACCCCAGUAGUCC